UUUUUUUUUUAUGUUGCAUGGGUGUUCUCAGAUAUUUCAAUAAGAUGAAUUGCAAAGUUUUAGUUCUAGGAUAAAAAGGGGGAUUCGAGUUGGAUGUUGCAUGAAACAUCCUAAUUUGUUGCAGUGGAAAUUUAUUUUUAUCGUAUAUUUCUAGUUAUUGCAAAAGUUAUUUUUUAAAUAGUGCAGCCUCUGUUUCUUCAUGUUGUCACGGACCAUCCGACGGGACAUUUCCUAUCGGACGUAGCGUAGCAGUGCUGAUCUUUUAUUGAUGAUACGUAGCAUAUACAUGUAUAUAUGGACAACAUACCACAAACUCUACCACGUGUGUGAAUAUAUAUUUCAUUUUCAACAAUAAAUUAAGGAUUUGCUAUAUUUUUUCACUAGCCUAUGCUACUCUUUGUGCAUUCUAAUUUGCGGGACCAUUUGUGGGUCCGGUGAGCUUGAGUGGUUCUGCAUUGGCCAGGGAGGGCUUACCUAUGUCACCACAUUCUAAUGCGAAAAUUAAUGGUCGUCUCUUGAAUUAAACAUUGGAGCAUAGUGCAACUUAAAGUUUCAGUGAGAAAGUUAAAGGUCUCGUUGAAAUGUACAUAGAAGUUUAUCUCCAUACGCCACAUGAAAAAUUUAAGAAUUCCAAAAAAAGUUUAAACUCUAAUUAGAAACCUGAGAGUAUUAUUCAUGUCGGCUCUCAAUAAGAGUUGGCACUAGAUACCUUACAUAAUACAAGCUUGCUCUUGUUAAGAGCACUUACGUAUUAUUCAUGAGGAUCAUAACAAGAGCAACUACAAACAGUCCACAGGGUAUAGUACGGAUGGAUAAUACUUUAGGAAUUUAUACAUGCCUAUUUCUAUCUUACUAUUACUAAUUGGAGGCUCCUUUUGAAGCGUCCAGGUAAAGCCACCUAGGAUUCCUAGGUGUACACUCUAGGAAAAGAGAGAAAUCCUAAAAAUUCUCAAAAAAAGCAAAAUAUCCGACCAUCAAUCGAUAGAUUCAAAUCAUCAUAGACAUUGGAUCUAUUAUAUUUUCUAAAAAAUUACCCACCUAUACCAUUAUGAAAAUAGCGUAAAGUAACCCCCUAAAUCUAUAUAUAAAUUACCUACCUCUGCCAUUAUAUAAAAUAAACUAAAAUAACCCCCUAAUGUUCAUCAAAAUUACCCACUUAUGCCAUUAUAAACAAUAUUAAAAUAAUCCCCUAAUUUGCAACUGAAUUGCCUACCAUUAUUACUUAAAAAACUUAAAGUAACCCUUAAAUUUGCAUCUAUAUUACCCACACAUGCUAUUAUUAAAAAUAACAUGAGGUAACCCUAUGUUUGAAUCAAAUAACCUUAAUUAAAAAUAUACAGCAAUAAAUGAUUCUAAAUCAUCUAUAUCUUGCACUAUUGGUAUACGAUAUAAUAAUUAAGGUCUAUACGCAUGAUGUGUGUCACCAUUUAUAAGGAUAUAAAGUGAUGGGAAUAUAGAUUUCUAUGCUAAAAUUGUAUCUCAAACUUAGGGUUCAUUAAACAAAUUCAAGCACAUACCUGCGAUCCAAAGUGAAAAGUUAAAGAUUAUAAAUGUGGAUGAAAAUAUUAUAGAGUAAUUACUAAGUAAAAUAUAUCACAAUUGGAUGAAGAUAUUAAGUAUAUAUCUACAUAAGUAUUGUGUUCGAAUAUUUAACAAAUGAGAGGUAGCUUAUGGUAAUAGUUUUGUAGCAACAUAGUCUUAUUUUUUUCCAAUGGAGACUCCGCAUUAGUUCCCACAAGACAAGCUAGAAAAAAAAAGAGAAAUUCUCAUAAAAAUUAAAAACAUCAAACAUCAAUCCUGUAAACUCUAAUAAUCAUAGCCAUUGAUCUAUUAUAUUUUCUAAAGUUAACUGCCACUGUCAUUAUGAAAAUAUUCAAAAAUUAGCUCUAAACCUAUAUCUAAAUUACCGAGAUCAGCUAUUAUAAAAAAUAAUCUAAAGUAGCCUCAUAAUCUUCAUCCAAUUUACUAAUACACAUCAUUAUAAAGCAUAACUUAAAAUGUCAUUAUAAAAUUUUAUCUAUGUUACCCACGUAUGUCGAUAUUAAAAAUAACCUAAAGUAAAUACCUAAAUCUUAAUCUAAUUAUCUUCGUGUGCAUCAUACAGAAAUGUCAAAAAGUAAACUAAUAUAUGAUUCUAAAUUACCUAUUUAUGUCAUUGCUAAUAUAAAAAUACUAAGUAAAAGUAUAUACACAUGAUGAGUGCCACCAUUUAGACCAUUUUAUACAUGUAUGUGAGGAAUCAAUGAAAAAUAUUGAUUUGUAUGCUAAAUAUAAUGUAUGGAGGACUGGAGGUGUGAUACAAAAUGGAAAAAGUAUGAAUAUGGAUGAAAAAGUGCAUAGAGUAAUUAUUAAUUAAAAAUGAAUCACAAUUGGACAAAGGUAGGUAAAUAUCUAUAUAAUUAUUAUGUUGAAGUAUUGGAAAAAUAAGAGAGUAGUAGGUAAUAUUUUUUGAUUAUUAACUAAGAGUUUAAUUUCUAAAUAAUUUUCAUAUACAGUAACUUCUAAAAAUAUUAGCCCAUGCGGGAGCAUGGGUUGAUGGACUAGUUAUGAGUUAACGCAGAUGACUUAACUAUGCCAGCCCCAGUUUCAUGGGUACUGAUGACCCAACACGGAUGAAGAGUUUUCUAGUACUGCAAUUUAAUAGUAGCUUGAAUAUGUAACCUAGCCUAAGCUAGCAAUGUCACCCUCCCUAUUUAUAUUAUUGCAAGCAUAAUUGAUGGUAGCAACAAUAUAGUGUUUAGUAUCUUUCGUUGCGUACGGCAUCGAACAGCUGCAUGAUAAAGGAUUUGUAGAGAAAUUGACCUAUUCUCUUGCCUCGGAAGUCUUCAAAGAAAUUCAACUUUUACUAGUUCAAAGAACCUUUCGGUUCAUUACCGCGUAGUCUUAACGUGGAUCAUGAUGAUGUCCUGGACUCCUGGUUAACAGGAUAUCGCGUGCAGCCUUUAGGUGUUACAGAUGCCAAUUGAGAGGUCAAAAAAAUAUUGUACAUGUCAUUACUCAUUAGGCAAGAGCUUCUACUUAUUGGGGGAAACUAUGUUUGUACUCCCUUUGUUCUCAAUUGUCGGCCAUUUCAGUUUCAUCCUAAGUCAAAUUUGUCUAACUUUAACCAAAUUUUUAAAAAGUAUAUUAAUGCCUACUUAUGGUACUUUGAACUCGAGUGUUUCUCUGUCCUCUCACACCGAUUUUUCUGGCUUGAUAUGCCAUCCUAUAAAAUUCGAUUUGUGCUUUGUGCUGAGGUGGUUCUUCCCUAACUCAGACAGGUUUAUUAAGGGAGCCGUGAGUCUAUAGGUCACUUGUUGGCACGAGCCUUCCUGGCUUGCCCUGCAACAAGGAAGUAAAGAAACUGUUCUAUCUUUUUUUACCUGCACCGUGAUUGCGGUUAAUUUAAUUAACAAGCAUGAAGCAUCUAAUGAAACUCAUGCUAAUUUUUGUCUCGUAUAGUUGUUCUAUGCCUACCAUGGACAUUGGAUUCCUUGUGAUUGCCAGUAAGGUUCUAUAUUAGGCCUCAGUUUUUUUGGAGCACUUAUAUAUGUUCAUCAUUCUAUAUAGUUGUUUAAUUUGCCUGGUCCGACUACUUAUUAAUGUGAUUCACAUUUUUUAUGAUUGGAAUAUUUUAUUCGAUGGCGCCCUUUUCUUUAGCUGUACGCGUCGACGUGGCCACGUAGUUAAACAGAUAUUACUGAACUGGAUGUUGAAAUUAGAGUGUAAACAAUACUAUUUAUUUGUGCGCUGGUGAUGGUUGUCCUCAGAUCAGUUUGCCGCUGGGAUUAGAAUAACUAGCAUAGAUGUUAGUUGGAGCAGCAGCGGCAACAACAUAUGGUGAUGGGGGUGGUGCAAAGGAGAUUGAGAGACGGAGGAGGCAGCAGAUGAAGGCCCUCUGCGCAAGGCUCGCCUCUAGGUACGUGCAAGUAAUUAUCACAUGAAUACUAUUUUCUUUGAACUGUCAAAUGAAAUGCCUUUGAUUGAAGAUAUGUUUUUUUUUGCUUCUGUGUAUACGGGAUCAUAACUGUUUUAAGGCUCUAGAACUUCAAUAAUAAUCUAUCCAAGUUGGUUUUGCUGUUUCUUAGAAUGAGUAUAUCAACAUAAAUUUUUUUUGAUAAAAUAGAAUCUGAGCUUUUUUCUUGCACGGUAAGUUUAACACUGAAGUAAUUCCACAACAUGAGAGGAGAUUGUUGAUUUUUAUUUUCCCAGAUAACAAUUAUAUGGUUGUAUGUAUGCAGGUAAAGAUGAACCAAUUUGAUAUCCUUGAUGCCGUCGUGUCAUACAUCAAGGAGUUAAAGGAAAUGGUGGAACAACUUGAGCAACAACGCAGCUCCGCAGCAAAAGUAAUGGCUACAACCGGAGGAGCCGCAUUCGCGUCGGCAGCAACAAGCCAGGUGGUGUUGGGUCCGAAGAAGCUCCCACCGAGGAGAUGGCGGUGGCACCAGUAGUGCUGGCGCUGCUCCAGCCACAGGAUGGAUCGAUCCUAGACGUGGCGGUGAUCUGCAGCGUGCGGCAGUCGCUGAUACUGCACGAGGUGAUCACCGUGCUGGAGGAAGAAGGAGCCGAGAGGUUGUUUACCUGUUCAUGGGUGGAUUAUGACGGAUUUGGGUAGGUUAUAUGGGUUAAAUUGCAGCCACCGACUAAUUGGAAGAUUGUGUAAUCUGGGUGGGUUAGAUGGGUCAAGAGGGUGAUUGCUUAAUGGGUUGGCUGGGUGGAUUUGAUGGGUUAAAUGGGUAAAAAACAAGCAAGUCAGGGAACAAGGAACAUCUUGUGCAACCAUUCACUGAUUCAAACAUGCUAUCUUUGCCUCACAAAAUUAAACAAGCCGCAACAUCAAUGAUCCAUUUUGCAGUACAGCUCCAAUCAAACAGAAGAGUAUGAGAAAUUAAACAAGCAAUGCAAUAUCAAUGAUCCAUUUUGCAGUACAGCUCCAAUCAAACAGAAGAGGAAGAGAAAUUAAACAAGCAAUGCAACAUCAAUGAUCCAUUCUACUAUGGUAGCUGAUAGUGAUGUCCAAAAUGAAUCUAGAAUUCUUCCUCCUAUACUUAAUAUAGAUUCUGAAGCUACUGUGGAAACAGGAACUUCUAAAAUGUCUUUUGCCAACUUAGACAGUAUGGGGUACUUGCUUGAGUUACAUCUCCACCACAAAUAGUAAAUAAAAUUCAUCCAUGAUCUUUUCACAAUUCUCUGCAAGAUAUCUGGAUAAUUCAGAAUUACUUUCUUUGCUCUCAAUUUCUUCUAGGUGCAUACUAAAUUGAAAUGCUCGCAACAUAGCAGUAUUCUCCUCAUGCUCAUCGACAUUAAUAAGUAGUGGAGGUUGAUUGUAAUUACUACUGAAGCUGGCAUGUGCAGCAGACUCAACAUAGCAAUCAAAUAAGCAGCGAAGAUCACUUUCUAUUUUACCAACAAGUUAUUUUUUCUUCCGUGGACCGUAUAUCCCCAAGAAGAAAAAGCUAAGAAACUUCACCUUGUAACGAGGAUCCAAGAUUAGAGCGAUAAAUAGUAAGUUGUUCAGAUCCUCUUUAUCCUCCCAAUAUUUACUGAACUUCUUCUUCAUUAGUUCAGACAUUGUGGCUAUAAUGGGAUCACUAUGUCCAGCAAGUUCUUUCAGCUUUGAUUGCAUCAGAACAAACUCAAGAAAGAAACCACUUGAUGUCACACGAAGAGAACCAGAUAGAUGCACUGUAACUUUAUGGAAUAUCUUCAAAAAUGAAUAACACGCUUAGCAUUACACCAAUCAGAUGCAGAUCGAGGAACAUAGUCCUUAAAGUAUGUUUUGAAUUGUGUUUAACCUUGCAAGUGCCUUCUCAAAUAUAACUGCUUUAUCAUGUCGUGUGAGAGGAAAUUGUAGAAAUUUAGUUUGAAGUAGAACUAAAGAUCAAAAAGAGGUAUGCAACUGCAAAACAAUGCUCCGGAGCAAUAAUUCCUAUGUGGUGAAAAUACAAGCAUACAACCUAGAUAUUUUUCAGACAUCUAGUGACUAAAAAUAUCACAUCAUUGAAUUGUGAAUCUCACCAAAUACUAAACAAUAUUAGUCGGGCUCUGAGAAUCGACUCCCACAGGUUACCAUAUUGGGGCUGAUCACAAAUUGAACUUAAUAAACAAAUUAGUCAAUAACUAGAUCGAUCAGUACUAAGGCUAUAUUCCAAUCAGUUCCAUGGCCAGUUAUCAAAGGCAGUAAACAAUCUUAAAUCUCUCUUCUUCCUAUCGCUUGCAAACGAUAGACUCGCAAAUAUAACAAAUGCACUUCACAUACUAAGGACCUCAAAUAACCUCAUCAGUUAUCACCCUCGCAUAGCAGAUCUCAUGGACAUCAAAAUAAAAAGGGGAAAAGGAUUUGGGAGUGUGAGCAGUGGGACUGUUGGAGCCUCAACCUUAGUGAUGUUUUUUUUUGUAUCUAUAGCACUAAAAUCUCUAACCUUAACCUCUCACCAGGAGCAAGCAAGCAACAUCCAAUCCAUUCAUCCGUGCAGAGAAAAAGGGAACCGCAAGGAAUUGGGACAAGAGGAGUAUGGGGAUCAAAUGAACUAACCUUCAUAGUCACGCAGAGGGGAUUGGGUCGCCGCCGGCAGGGGAUGACGAGCGGAGCUUGGCGGUGGCCACUACACCAACGCUGCGACCAUUGCCGAUUUCGCAGGUGGUCUGGCAGUGGCGACGGGGCGACUCCUUCAAAUACCGUACAUGGAUUAGAUGGGUCAGCUGGGUUGGGUCAUGUACCUACCCAACAAGGCAUACCAAUAGAUGGGUGGGCCUGAAAUCCAACUCAACCCAUGGAUGUAGUUUUUUUCCGAUUGGGUUGGGUCUACACGGAUGGAUUGGGUGGGUCGCUUGACCCAUGCACAGGCCUAGUUAACGCCAUCUUCGUCGACAGCCGGCAAAUAUUUUGCAGCGUUCACUCCCGAGUAAGUAUUGCUUACAUUACAUAUGUAUAGCACAGUUGAUGCAACCACCAGCAGUGGUCGGAUGUAAUGAUUAAUUGUCAACAAUUGCAGGCCUUCAGCUCGAGAAUUGGCAUAGACGUUUCAAGAGUUACUAAAAGACUCAGGGCAUUGAUAUGAUGUAUCACUGAAUGCAGGUGCGGAUCAUACAUUAUUAUGUUGCAAUUGUUACGUAACAUGCAUGUUCGUUUCGUGAUAAGAUCGAUGUACAAAAGAAAUUGAACGUUGCUAAUUGUUAUCGACCCACCAUCCUUGGGAUAUAAAGCAAUUAUUCCACAGACUGACAGACAGUGUUUAACAUUUGCAGCUAACGUGAGAUCACCAAUUAACAUCGAUCGCAGGCACGCGUUGUUGCGACAGAAUCUAGCUAUAUACAGAUUUCGUGGGGCGUAGUAUGUCAACAACAGUGACCACCACUAUAGAAACGUACGUUGCUUGGUUAGGGCACGUUAGUGAUAGCACAGAAAUGACUAAUUACGACAUGAACCUCCAUUGGUUAAGCGGCAGGAAAUUAAAGUAAUUAAGGACAUAAACUGAUCGAGGAGAGACGGUACGCCGUGCAUGGGGGAUCGAAUAGAAAAUGCGAGAUGGCGCUGCAAGGAGUAGGAUGGAAGCUAGGGUUAGGGAACGAGUCGAUCCGCUGCACGUCUCGGCGAGAUGACCGGGAGAGCUUUGAUUAGUAGGGGGCGGAGUGUUUUCCCUCACGUGGAAGCCCAGUUUAUUUUGCGCUGUUGUAUAUUAGGGCUUAAUCUUUCUUGCAGAAGCCCAGUUUAUUUUGCUGCAUUACAUUUCCACUUUUCUUCCUGCAUGGCCCGUACGUCAGCUAGCUAAAAUAUUUUGGGCCUAAUAUCUCGCGUCCAACCUUCAGAACGAUAUACUAGUAUACUACUGGGGUGCCCAGUUGAUGAUGGGAUGAUGUGUCCUAUAAAACCCUUUACGAAUAAACAGACCUUGAUGAAUAGGCAAAUUUCUAGAAUGAACAUUUGCACAUUUACAGAUGUUCCUUCAUAGAUACAAAUAUGCCAUGUUGUUUUCAAAUUGUAGAGAAGAGGGUAUUUAAAAUCGAUAAUUUGAAAUCAUCUGAUCUACCAACCAUUACACUAGAACAUUAAUUUUUGGGAUUAAGAAGUUAAUUGCAGGAACCACAUAUAUUCUCACAAGACUAACGGAAAAUCAACAAACAAGAGUGUCACUACUCCAUAAACCAUUUGGGCUAGCACAGGCAAAUUAGCAUGCUGGCGGGCGUGAUUGGCACCCGCCAGCACAAGGCUUCCUUGGGCCGAGCACUUGCUAGCACAGUGGCCACUGUGCUGGCGGGCGACGCAAGCACCCGCUAGCACAGGGCAGUGGGCUUAUGUUGCCCGCCAGCUUAGAGGCCACUGUGCUUGCAGUCUACCUAAGCCCACCGCUAGCACAGAUGGGGUGAUCUGUGUUGGUGGUUGGCUUAUGUCGCCUGCCAGCACAGAGCCCACCAUAAAUGCUCCUGUUCAUCUUCUUACCUAGGCAACCUUCCAUUUGGAGCUUGCCUAAGAGGAGCUUGGGAAAAGCUCCAAAAAUACCAAAUCUAAGGGGGAAGGCUUUGCUCUUGAUUUCUUUGAAGGAGGUGGCUAUAUAAGGUGAGUUUGUGCCAUUCCAAUCUUCUUUUUUAACUUUUAUCCAUCAUUUCUAUCUUCAUUAGCUUGUCAUCUAGAUCUAGAUCUAGAACUAGGAGAUAGAGGAGGAAAGGGAGAAAAAAAAACUAGAAAUGAAUUAUUUUUGUGGAAAAAAUUCUAUGGUCAUAUUAUAAACAUUAUUGUCAUUUUAAUGUAAUAUAGAAUUGAGUUUGAUUAUAUCUUUCCUUCUUAUUAACUAUUACAUCCAUAGUUUUAAUUAAUGAAGUUGAUUAUCUUAAUAUAUAAUUGAGUUUGAUUUUUUCCCUUCUUAUUAAUUAUUACCUCCAUGUUUCAAUUUAUUCUCAUUUAGGGUAAUAUAGAAUUGUUUCUUAUUAUAUUUUUCCUGCUUAUUAAUUAUUACAGCCAUAGUCUCAAUCAAGGAAGUUGAUUGAAUUAAUAUAUAAUUGAGUUUGAUUUUUUUCAUUCUUCUUAUUAAUUAUUAGAUCCUAGGUUUAACUGCUUGGGAAAGGCUCUAAAAACACCAAAUCUAAGGGGAAAAUUUUGCUCUUGAUUUCUUUGGAAGAGGUGGCUAGGUGAGUUUGUGCCAUUCCAACAUUCUUUUUCAACUUCUAUCCAUCAUUUCUAGAUUCAUUAGCUUUGGGGUAAUAUAGAAUUGUUUAAUUGAGUUUCAUUUUGGAUAAUAUAGAAUUGUUUCUUAUUAAAUUUCUUCCUACUUAUUAGUUAAUAUAUCCAUAAUUUAAUUUAGUUUAUAGAAUAGCUUAUUGAAUUAGUUAAUAUAACAUAGAAAUGUUGUUAUAGGUUGUUAAAGAUGGAUCAUAGAGCAUGGAUGUAUAGCAUACAGAGACAUUCGCUUACUUUCAUGUUAGAGUUAUCGAAGUUCAUGAAGGCUGCGAAGAAGCACGCUCCCAUGGAAACUGAAUAAGCUGCAUAGAUGGAUCAUGACCGCAAUGAAGCAAAGCAUUCGAGCAAUCAUCACACGUGUCCCAAAAAAUGUUUUCCUUGGCAUUCUCAAUUACAAGAUUGUGAUCGAUUUCGAGGAUUUGCACAGACUUUACCGUCAUCAACGCCUUGACGUUCAGCUCAUUAUCGUAUAGUGCUUGUAAGUCCACAUGUUCAGCAUACACGAGUUUACAUACAUACGUAUAUAUUUUAUAUGUCAAGUACCUAAGCGACUACCUAUUCUGCAGGAUGCAGUGAAAAGAGGAAGAAUUGACCUCCUGCAGUGAAAAGAGGAAGAAUUGACGAACAGCUCUCGGUAGCGUACCUUGACCCAGCACGAAUUAGCAAGCCAGAGCACAAGUUCAAAUUGAUGGAGACGGUCAAAGCACAAAUGGAAGCAGCACAGACACAAGUGGAGAAAAAUGCUAUAAAAGAAAAGACCCACAGAGAUGAAAUGCACACAGUGUCUAUGUAAAUUGCAAGAGUAGGCUCACAAGACUCAUAUCAUGGCGGUUUACAAUUUUUGGUAAGCUAGUUAGUUUAAAUUACUAUUUCUAUACUUGGUGCUAUUUAAUACCGUAUAUAAUAUAAAUUAUUCUAAUAUAAUGCAGAGAUCACUGGAUUUGCACCAUUAUUUACCCCAAGCAUGGAGAAGUAGUGGUCCUCGACUCAGCCAGAUUUAGCAAAGAUAGUUACAAGGAACUCAUAGGCAUUUUACAAAAGUAAGACAUUCCUUGGUAGUACUUAAAUGCAUGUUGAGAUUCUAUGCACCUAAUUUGUGUUACCAACUCUUGUCUUUAUAUCCUCUAAGUGUGCACAAGCUUUAUGUAAUGAAAGGCGGGGAAUGCCCUAGGAAGAAAGCUAUGAAAAUAAUAUGUCAUAGAUUCGUAAGAACAUAAAACUUGGUUUAUUUUCAUAUAAUGUAGACUUGUCAUUAAUAACAACUCAUCAUUUUUCUAUUUGAUUGCAGUGCCACAUGCAACCUCCUGGUACUGCGCUAUGCGGAUAUUACGUGUGCAAGUUCCUCAGAAAUAAUGGGAGGUACCGGACGAACCCCGAAGAUGUAAGUCUCUAAUACACUGCCUUGUGCUAAAUUCUUAAUGGUAAUACAUCCUAAUCUUCAUUUACUAUAUACCUGCAAAUGCCUAGGAUCCCAAAUCACCAUUAGUCGCUCCUAGAAGGUCAAAUCAACAAUAUUUGUAGGGCCAUGGCAAGGUUCAUCUAACGCGAGAUUUGUCAUGAGGAUGGAGAUUUUUUUGAUUGAGAUGGUGUGUUGAUGGCGGACGAAUGCACACGUCUUUGUAGAUGAACGAAGUAGUUUUAAUAUUAGCCUCGCAAAUAAUUGCUCUAUUCCAAAUGUUGAAUUAUGUGAAUUAUUUAUUAUUCAAGUUUGUUGAAUAAUGUGAAUUCUCUAUUUUGUACGAUGAAGUUUUUAAUAAUGUGAAUUAUUUAUUAUUUAAGUUUGUUGUUACAUGGUUGGAGAUACAUAUUUAAAUUUGUGGCUAAAAACUGGUGAGAAAUAGAAAUUAUAAAUAAAUCACUUAGCGGCUAAAAACUGGUGGGAAAUAGAAAUUAUAAACAAAUCACGGAAAAUAAUAUAUAGGGUGGGAAAAUACAUAUUUCUAGCGGGUAGUAUAACCACCCGCCAGCAUUGAAAGUCUUUUUGCUGGAGGGUGGCUAACGUCGUCCGCUAUCACAGACCACUAUUUGUGCUGGUUUAAGAUUGCUGGUGGGUGCUUGGCCUACCAGUACAGUGCCCUUUUAGCCGUUAGCACAAAUUUUUUGUGGCCUAGUGUUGUAAUAUUCUUUAUUUGACGUCGAGGGCAGCUCCAGCGUGAGGGAAAAACUGAAUCGCGGAUCAAGAAAACUGAACAGAGCACGCAGUGGCACUCGACGUUUGCGUGUUGGAGUAAAAACCACAUGCUGCGGAACCAAGAAGAAUAAAAAAUCAAGCGGGCGCACAGAAUGGAGACUAGCUAGGGCUGGCUCACGGGUGGGCGCAGGGGCUGACGUGUGGGCAGAGAAGUGAGGCUGUUUUUUGAGUGGAGGACUGGAGGGUCCCCAAAACCGAAGCGCAUGCUCUUGACAGCGAACACUCUGAUAGGUUACAGAUUUUGCUCAGCAAAAAUGCUGAGUCACUGGAGGUGCCCUCAUAUUAAGGGAAACCACAUUUUGGAAAGCAAGCAGAAACCCCGGGCUUCCCAUAUGAUGGUCCUACGUUGCAUAUCUCUAAACCAGGAAUGACGUGAAUGCUAUUCAUUAUCUUUACAAGCUGCUUAAGCUAGUACAACACUGAGAUUUGCUCUCUUAUACUUGUUAUGUGCUCUCCAAAAGUGUAGUUUAAAUAAAAUUUUCACCAGGAAAAUCAUGAAAUUUCUAACAGAAGAAUACUACUUACAAGUUCAAAUAAAAAGAGAUACACAUACACAAUACUGCUAGUUACGAUUAUUCAUAAGGCUUAUUUAGCAAAAUAAUUUGUACAAAAGACAAAAUAGGGUUUAGUUUAGCAAAUACAUAGGAGAGUAUAUAUAAGCUGUUUGAAGUAAAAGGCAAUAUUUGCCACCCGCUUGCCGGUGUUUUACUGCAAUAUAUCACUUUGAAUGAUAAGCAUCGGCUAUCACUUUCCU
This 12099-nucleotide long non-coding RNA is filed under the name Setaria viridis. RNAcentral describes it as "long non-coding RNA (SVIR_LNC008732)". Lineage: Eukaryota; Viridiplantae; Streptophyta; Magnoliopsida; Poales; Poaceae. The record is from RNAcentral.